This 917-nucleotide long non-coding RNA is filed under the name Numida meleagris (helmeted guineafowl). RNAcentral describes it as "lncRNA (ENSNMEG00000012019.1)". Lineage: Eukaryota; Metazoa; Chordata; Aves; Galliformes; Numididae. The record is from RNAcentral.
GUGCUUUUCUGUAUCAAAUUCUCAGGCAGGCAGUGACAGUCCGCCCUUGCCCUCCCCAGAAGGGACCAGCCUGUCAGUCACAACGCUUCUUCUUUGUCUUUCCUGCAGGCAUUUUGGCCAACUCAGCUGGAUGGCACUCAACACCCCCUCUACUUCUGUGUUCUUGCAGCAUGCCAUAGCUUGACUCAUAAAGCUAGCACUCAGCAUCUUGGCUGCGGGUCAAGAUCAACUGAAGUCACAUGCAGGAUGAAGUGGUGAAGGUGACAUUGCUUCUCCUACCUGGCUCAGGAAACAAAAAAUGCAAUGAACUCUCCAACAAUCUGUGAAAAACUUAGGCUCAUGCGGUUGCGGCAAAGACCCUCUGGUCCAGUUUUCUACAUCUAGGAAAGCACCAAGCAAGACUGGAUGUAAAUUCAUCACUGACCUGGGACACACAGUGUUGUGCUCUUUGAUCAUAUGAUUGACAACUGGCAGGAGCCUGCAUUGUUUCUCUGUUACCUAGAGAGUAUAUUUGUGAGGUAUUAAGAGCAUGACAUGUGUCACUACAGGACAAGAGAGAAAAAGGGUGAAAAACAAAUAGCAUCAAAUACCCUCAUCCAAAAGAGUACUUCAUGGCAACGUUAAGCAGAAGACUGGCUCAAAUGCAAACAGCAAUUUUUAGGACUUCUCAAAAUCUCAUGGAGUUUGAGGGAUGUGGGUCUGAAGACCCACCUCAUCUCUAAGUAGGAUAGCCUGAAUAACAUCAACUUUUGGAAUUUGAAAUGCUUGCUUUGUGACUCCUAGGCCAAACUAGUCAUAGCCAGAGAAUUAAUUAACUGGGAGCAUUCGGAUCAUGAUCAAAGCACUGUGUGAAGCCUUUGAAUGUCCCUUUAUGAAAUAAUCUGGUGGAAUAUUCAGAACUCCUCCAGAACUGAGAA